AUUGAACGCUGGCGGCAGGCUUAACACAUGCAAGUCGAGCGGGGUGAUGGUGCUUGCACUAUCACUUAGCGGCGGACGGGUGAGUAAUGCUUAGGAAUCUGCCUAUUAGUGGGGGACAACAUCUCGAAAGGGAUGCUAAUAUCGCAUACGUCCUACGGGAGAAAGCAGGGGAUCACUUGUGACCUUGCGCUAAUAGAUGAGCCUAAGGCGGAUUAGCUAGUUGGUGGGGUAAAGGCCUACCAAGGCGACGAUCUGUAGCGGGUCUGAGAGGAUGAUCCGCCACACUGGGACGGAGACACGGCCCAGAAUCCUACGGGAGGUAGCAGUGGGGAAUAUUGGACAAUGGGGGGAACCCUGAUCCAGCCAUGCCGCGUGUGUGAAGAAGGCCUUAUGGUUGUAAAGCACUUUAAGCGAGGAGGAGGCUCUUUUGGUUAAUACCCAAGAUGAGUGGACGUUACUCGCAGAAUAAGCACCGGCUAACUCUGUGCCAGCCGCCGCCGUAA
This 503-nucleotide ribosomal RNA is filed under the name uncultured bacterium. RNAcentral's name for it is "partial 16S ribosomal RNA". It matches the Rfam family "Bacterial small subunit ribosomal RNA", at positions 30 to 523 of the family's 1533-position model. The record is from RNAcentral.